Molecule: long non-coding RNA, 2005 nt
Filed under: Dicentrarchus labrax (European seabass)
Lineage: Eukaryota; Metazoa; Chordata; Actinopteri; Moronidae
Description: lncRNA (ENSDLAG00005026679.1)
Source: RNAcentral
CCAGAGAGGAGGGGAGGAAGGUGGGAACCCAGGGGGUCAGGGGGGUCAUGGACACUAAACCGAGAGUGAAGGUUAAUGAACCUGGUGGGCUCCAGUUCUCAGAGCAGGCACCUCCUCAGUCUAUCUACAACCACCCUCUGUACAAAGUCAUCAAAGAGGAGCCAGCAGAACCUGUGCCAGUCGGACAGUUCUCUGAUCCUCCCUCACCAGACCUGGGCAAGCGCCAGAGCAAGCCCCCCAUCAAAUUACUGGACUCAGGCUUUCUGUUCAGCUUUUGUCGGCCAGCAGGGGGUGCGAUGGCGGCACUGAAGAAAGAGGAGGAGAGCGUGGAUAUCUGCUUAACACGCUCUGUGUCACAAGUUGGGGAGAAAUUUGGAACGGAGGAGUCCCCCCACAGGGCCCUGAGAGCCAGAGGGACACCCACCCUGCCUGUAGUGAAGAGGGAGAGGGAGGAGAGGAGCGUGAGCCAAAGCAAGGUUCAGAGACUAAGGUCAAACUCCCGAAACAACACUCUUCACCUGGCCAAAUCUGCAGGUUCAAAAGCCCCAAGGACUGUGCCAAAGCAGCAAGUUAGACGCCCUCUGAGCACCAGGAGCUGUGUCAUGCAGGAUGCUGUACGACGUGCAAGGCUAAAGCAGCUUCGAGGGCCUCGUAGUCAAGCUCCCAAAGUCCCAAAGGCGGCCCAUGCCUGUCUUCAGUGCCCAGCCUCCUACAAGGACUGUGAUGCUCUAAUCAUGCAUCGCCUCAGGCACAUCGAGGGCAAGCACUGGCCAUGUCUGCUCUGCAGCAAGACGUUCUUUCGUCUGAGGAAUGUACGGAACCACAUCCGCACCCACGACCCCAAGUUGUACAAAUGCCGGAGCUGCAUUGUUGCCGGUUCCUGAGGCAGCUGGAGGGUCUGCUCUAGCAGCGAGACUGAGGAUGAAGGCUGUCAGUGUCUGACACCAGCGAACAGACUGAAGCCAGAGGCACAUGAUCGAUCAGCAGCUUGUACAUAAUGCAUCUGUCACACACAAGCACAACGGUCUGUGGAAAGGCAUAAUUACUCUAUUUCUAAUCAUUGCUGUUGUCAAUGAUUGCUAAUGUUAUUUAAAUAACCAAACCAAGGUUGCUGGUCCUGUUUGCUUUUCCGUAGCUACAGAAGGUUAAACUUGAACAUUACACUCAGGGGGCGGGGAAUGUGAUGCCACGGUAUAAAGUGAUUUAACGUCACAGUUGUGUAUAAAAUGAAAUGUAAAGUGAUUGUUAUAACUAUUACUGCUACUUAUUGUUAUCAUUAUUUUUCUAUGUAUAGAUGAAUUUUGAGUGCACUUAUAUCAUGGCUUAUGUUGUAAACCUAAGAAGUGGUAAUGAAAUUGAAGGUUUCCACGGAGGGAAUACUUGAAGUGAUGCGAGUGCUGGAGGGAAUACUUGAAGUUAGAGGGAGUCUUAGGAGUGAGACUGUCCUUUUUGGGUGUUUCAGUGGGUCUUUGUCCUUUGGUGUGCUAACUUGACUAGUUUGCCCCUCCUUUCGUAUUGAUCUGCUCGUCUCUCAUAGCCCAUGAGUCGGGAUUUGACAAUGGGCUUUUAUGGUGACACCACUGCAUGUGUAUUUGCAGGCUGUUUGUAGUCCACUGUCUUUUCUAAGGCUGCCAAUUUUAAAAAGGGAAACGUGUCUGGUUUUUAAUGUGAAUUUCUCAAUAUUAAUCAACACAACUGUGUCAUUACAGAUGUUUUAUUGAUCUCUUCUUCCACUUCAAUCCAAGACACUCGUCUUGUUCUACUUCAAAUUCCCCUCCUACUGAGUCAAUGCAAUGUGUUCACAUGAAGAGAUGUUUAUGUUUCACAAAUUGAUUUUAGAAAUAAAUGAGCUGUCUCUUGCUAUCUGUUAAAAGACUGAAUAAAUUUUUGCUUUUUAUAUCUUGUUAUUCUUGCUUUGAUUGCGGGGUUUUAUAUAUACUGUACACUGAAACUGAAAGAGACACAAUUAUCUGGAGUUGGGAGUUAUGUUUGGAGUUUGAGGAGG